CCGGACUCGACGUAUAUGAGAGGAGACAGAGCCAGGAACAAACCGAGGUCAAGGGCACAGAGAGACAGCGUAAACUAGGACAAGCCGGGGUCUGGUACACGGAAAACAGCAAGCCGGCAAACAGUACAGAUAAGGAUAAAGCGAAAAUGAAGUCAGAAUACGAAGCCAAAGUCAAUACGAGAAAACACAACUGAACACCACAAG
Molecule: non-coding RNA, 204 nt
Organism: Pelobates cultripes (western spadefoot toad)
Lineage: Eukaryota; Metazoa; Chordata; Amphibia; Anura; Pelobatidae
Source: the annotation of a GenBank genome assembly